UACAGAGGGUGCAAGCGUUGUUCGGAAUUAUUGGGCGUAAAGAGCUCGUAGGCGGUUCGUCGCGUCGGCUGUGAAAUCCCGAGGCUCAACCUCGGGCCUGCAGUCGAUACGGGCGGACUUGAGUUCGGCAGGGGAGACUGGAAUUCCUGGUGUAGCGGUGAAAUGCGCAGAUAUCAGGAGGAACACCGGUGGCGAAGGCGGGUCUCUGGGCCGAAACUGACGCUGAGGAGCGAAAGCGUGGGGAGCGAACAGG
Molecule: ribosomal RNA, 253 nt
Filed under: uncultured bacterium
Lineage: Bacteria
Description: partial 16S ribosomal RNA
Rfam family: Bacterial small subunit ribosomal RNA
Source: RNAcentral